GUAGUCUGCAACUCGACUACAUGAAGCUGGAAUCGCUAGUAAUCGCGAAUCAGAAUGUCGCGGUGAAUACGUUCCCGGGUCUUGUACACACCGCCCGUCACACCAUGGGAGUCGGAUAUGCCCGAAGUCAGUGACCCAACCUUUUGGAGGGAGCUGCCGAAGGUGGAGCCGAUAACUGGGGUGAAGUCGUAACAAGGUAAC
Molecule: ribosomal RNA, 201 nt
Filed under: uncultured bacterium
Lineage: Bacteria
Description: partial 16S ribosomal RNA
Rfam family: Bacterial small subunit ribosomal RNA
Source: RNAcentral